GAUGUUGAGGAAGUGUUUGCUGGAGACAUCUGUGCAUUAUUUGGCAUUGACUGUGCUAGUGGAGACACAUUCACAAACAAAGACAAUAGUGGUCUUUCUAUGGAGAGCAGCCUCUCCUACAGUAUGACCACUUGUUCGUGAGGCUGGUUCCUCUCCUGAAUUCAGUAAAGAAAGAAUAUGAGUACUUAGGGGACAGGUAAUUUGCAGUGAAGGCAUUUACAGUGGGUCGUUUAUGUAAGAACUGGUCCAACGCUAACAAGUGAGCACUAUAAUAGCUCCUGUAUACAAUGAUGAACUCAUAAUUUUGUAAUUUAAUUUUUUUGUAUAAAAUAUUCUCUAAUGUCUAUGGUUUUACAAAUGCUUUAAGAUACUACAAAAAUCACACAGGAGGGCACUGAUAGCUCUUCAGUGCUGGGAGCUUAUUCCACAGACCACCCCGGCGGUGGUUUCGAAGGUCUGUGCCUGUGGAGAGAAGGGGCCUGGAAUGCCCUACUAUCCAGUAAUUUUACUCCCAGGUGUAUAUACUAGAGAAACUCUUGCAGGCAUGCACCAAGAGAGAAUACAAAAUUAAUUUAUGAAAUCAUUGACCAUAAUAGCAAAAAACUACAAACUCAAACAUCCACAGAAAGAAGAUGAAUACAUAAAUUAUAGAACAGUCACCGAGUGGAAUGUUAGAUAGAAGUGAUAGAAAUGAUAGAAAAUGAUAGAACUAUGUGUAACCACAUGGAAGGAUCUAGAAACAUAAUAUUGAGUGAAAAUAUACGGACCAGAGAACUAUCUACAGUAAGACACCAUUUUUAUAAGCUCAAAAUGAAGCAAAACUGAAAAACAUACUAGUUAGGGAUACAGAGAUAUGUGAUGAAGUUAUUUUUAAAAAGACAAGGGGAGGGGAUGAUAAAACACAAAAUUCGGGAUAGUGGUACCUGUGGUGGACAGGCAGGGAGGUGGGAUAGGGCAAGAGCUCCUGGGCCGGGACAAGGAUCUUGGUCACAGUGCAGUUUCUAGGUCAGGUGGCGGUUGGUGGGUGCAGCACUCACGGUCGCUGCGCUUCCCAACACUUCCAUGUGCUCUUCUGUAUGUAGAGUUUCAAAGGUUUACAUACAUAAGCGUAUACUGAGAGAAUAUUAGUACGAGUCCUACUCGAUACUCAACGCAUAUUUACGUGCAGAUAGCAGGAACAAUAUAAGAACACUAACCACACUGAUAAUUGAGAGAUUGAAAAAUGUGCAGAGAAUUUCUGUAUGUAUGAAAGGUUCAUUUAAAAUUUAAUUCAGGGGAUUUUUAUUACAUUCAGAGGCUCAGACGAUAAGGCACCUUACAUUUGAGUUUUAUAACUUUGUAAUAAGUGGCAAAAACAAAAAGAAAGGAGGACAUCAUGGGACAACAUCAUACUGGAAAAUAGAUUUAUUUUUUAUUAAACUGUGUCUUAAAGAUUUCUUAAACCUAAGAGCUACAACUCUGAAAGUUUUUCUGAGAAUAUAUUACUUCUAAAAGCUAUAUUUUAUGUUCUUUGUAUACUUGGAAGGCUAACAUAAGUUGCGUAAUUGAAAAUGAUAAUUACCUGGUGACUCUUUUGUCCUUAUUAUUAUAUCUCAUGAAAACUUAGGAUUGCAAUUAGCUCUUUAUUCAUUACCACGUCGCUUGUAAUGGUAAAAUGUGUGCAUAAUGUACAUCCCAUGGACUUCUUUCUUCCCUGUGAAAUUCAGACAGUAUUUUACUCUAGCAACAGAUCUUUUAGGCUUUACAUAGAGACGGAGCUUACCUACACUUGUCUUCUGCCCCACAAGAGUUUUUAGUGGAUGCGGUCAAUAUUUAUAGAGCAGUGCUGGUCCCAAAGGCUGACGCCAGAAUUGUGGAAUAGGACCCCGUGUAUUCUUUCUGAGAUUUCUGUAACAGAGAUCUACUGAAAUGUUAUUAGAGAAUACAAAAAUUAGACUAAUCAUCUCAGCAUCCCCGGGCAAUCAGUGGAUGUUAGAGUACUGAAUCGGUGGUCAGAACUGAGCUUGAGUUUCCAACUUCUUAUUUGCUGAAUUGUGAUAUUCAUUUAACAUCUUUGUGCCUCAUUUUCUUCAUAUUAAUAAAGUGAUAAAAGCUCCUUUAUUCUCCUCAUAGGAUUGUUAGGAGGCUGGAAGUCAAUACACAUGAAAAGACUUUACAACCUCAAGGAAUAUGCAAAUAUUAGUUUGUCACUAGAGGAAGGUGUUUUUUAUUAAUCAAACAUAGUAAGAUUCAGAGUAAAAUAUUAAAAAAAGCAUAUUUAGGCCUUUUAAAAAUUACUAUGUAAAGUACAUGAAUUUCUCAGCAGAAAGAAGAUGCCUAUAGGGUCUGCUUGAAAAAUCAUUUUAUUGAUUUUCACACAAACGAACUACAGAUCUUCCCUGACUUACAGUGGGGUUACAUCCCGAUAAACGCAUUGAAAGUUGAAAAUAUCGUAAGUCGAAAAUGCAUUUAAUACAUCUAACCUACUGAACAUCUUAGCUUAGCCUAGCCUACCUUAAAUGUGCUCAGAACACCUACGUUAGCCUACACUUGGGCAAAACAUCUUACACGAAGCCUAUUUUACAAUAAAGUGUUGAUAUCUCA
Equus caballus (horse) is the source of this 2583-nucleotide non-coding RNA. The record is from RefSeq and is a predicted model, not a curated record. NCBI's taxonomy places the organism in Eukaryota, Metazoa, Chordata, Mammalia, Perissodactyla, Equidae.